CGAGUAAGACAGGCGGUCGCGUGGGCAGGCCGAAAGGCCGUCCAUGAGGAAAGUCCGGGCUCCAUAGGGCAAGGAUAACGGGUAACGCCCGCCGAAGGCAACUUCAGGAAAAGUGCAACAGAGAUAUACCGCCGUUGCGGCUUUGCCGUAACGGUAAGGGUGGAAAGGUGCGGUAAGAGCGCACCCGACGGCUGGAAACUGUCCGUCGCUGUAAACUCUAUCCGGAGCAACACCGUGGGAGGACACAUGAGGCUGGCCCAGCCGUCCUCAGGAGGUGGCUUGAGCGUGCCGGCAACGGUACGCCUAGAUAGAUGACUGCCAAAUACAGAACCCGGCUUACAGUUUUGCUCGCAAA
Molecule: RNase P RNA, 355 nt
Filed under: Oscillibacter sp.
Lineage: Bacteria; Bacillati; Bacillota; Clostridia; Eubacteriales; Oscillospiraceae
Description: RNase P RNA component class A
Rfam family: Bacterial RNase P class A
About the family: Ribonuclease P (RNase P) is a ubiquitous endoribonuclease, found in archaea, bacteria and eukarya as well as chloroplasts and mitochondria. Its best characterised activity is the generation of mature 5'-ends of tRNAs by cleaving the 5'-leader elements of precursor-tRNAs. Cellular RNase Ps are ribonucleoproteins.
Source: RNAcentral